UUAGAAAUAAAGAAAUUAGGUAGAAGCAAAUUACAAUAUAGCAGUGACAGUGAGCAGCUGUUAAGUGUUAUAUCUAUAGCUGUCAUUGAUUGGUCACUUCUCUGUUCGCUAUCUUUGGGCGCUGCUCGUCUGUCAAAAAAUUUACAUGUGUAAGCAACAACAUAGUUAUCUAUUUGAAUUCGUACAGGAGAGUAUGCGAAUACCUCAUUAAAAAUGCUAUCACCGCUUGCUGAAUGCUGCCAAAUUUAGUUUUACAUAUGUAUACUAUUCACAAUGGUAAAAACGACUCAAAGGGCAAAUUUUAGACAAAAAUGACAAUACAUGGAUAUGUUUGUUGUUUUUACUUUGAAAUACAUUUUAAUUUAUUAAAUAACACGUAAAGCGUAGACGCAGCUAGAAACAAAGGGAUACAAAAAUAUUUUUGUGCAUAUUUAAGUAUAUCUCCACCUAAGAAAAUUGUUCAGCACUAUUGCGCAUGCUUAAGAGCUGUCCUGUCCUGUCUGUUUGAAUUAUAGGAUAGUGCGUUCUUUUGGCUUCUCUAUAACGCUUAGCCAAUCGAUGACAUUGUGCGUAACAAAAUAGUGUAAACAGAAAAGGCUUGAAACAAGAGCAAAACUUUAUAUACGUGCGCCAGCCACCAAUUGAUUGAAGUUAGUAGCAGCGCAGCCGUUCGAAAGAAUCCCAGCAAGUCAUGGGUACUGAAACUCCAACAUAUUCAAAGAAAUUAUAAUAACAAUAUAUAUAUGUAUACACACAUAUGCAACAAAGGGCAAAAUGUGCAUAAACAUUUAACUCAACUCUUCUCUCGUACAGCACUCUGAAUGAUAGAAAGAAACAACCAAAGUUCUCGUGUUUGAACAAGUUUUGUUUUGAGUCAUGGCUGCUUGUGAAGUAUUAUUUUGCGUGUUUUAUUUAAAUCAGUGAUCUGCAGCCUAAUUAAAGUGUAACUUAUUAAAGCACGCAUUUUUAAAGAAGUAAAACGUAAAAUAAAAGUUUUCUAAAGCGAAAAUAUGGAAUUGAAGAGGGCGAUACUGUAAUAUUUCAUUGCACUGUCAAUUCAAAGCACGCAAUAGAAGCUACGCCAACAAUGGUCAACAUCAAUGGCGAAACCAUUGAAUACAUAUUUCAAAACUCAUACGGCGCGUUAAAGGUACGCAACCUAAUUGGUGUCAUUUAUGGCAGGAGCGUAGAACUUUUGAAUCGAUGGAAUAUGUGCUGCAAGCAAAUCCAGAACUAUGGAUGCAAACUCUGCUACAUCGAACACAACUCAUUUACACACCAGAUAUUGGGUUUAAUGUCACUUUUUUACGUGCAAUUAAACCUUUUGCUCAACACAAGCCCGGGAAGAACUGAAACGACAUGGCUUAGGUGCAUUUGUAACCGUUUAUUAUCUCGACGUGUGUAAACUGGGUUUUGCCAAUAAGCUAGAGGGCAAAGCAGUUGCAGUAUUUUUAGAAUUACCGGCCCCUCAGUUGGCCGUGCAAUUAAACCUUUUGCUCAACAAGAGCCCGGGAAGAACAGAAACGACAUGGCUUAGGUGCAUUUGUAACCGUUUAUUAUCUCGACGUGUGUAAACUGGGUUUUGCCAAUAAGCUAGAGGGCAAAGCAGUUGCAGUAUUUUUAGAAUUACCGGCCCCUCAGUUGGCCGUGCCAUUAGCAGCUAAAACUCAGAAAUUAAAGGGAGGACUUUUUUGAUUCAUUUUCACCUUAUAUUGAGCAAUCAUAACGUUGUUGUAUCGCUUUACAAGGACAUGGAUUCACCGAAAUUAGUUCAAUGGAAAUACUACAGCAAGAGCAUGGAUGUUAAGACUAGAACGUUGCCAGUGCUAGAUUUAGAAUUCCUGAAACAUAAGAAACUCAGAAAAUGGACGAAUCUAGUACUAAUGAAAUUAAUGAAAGAACAGAUCUUCCAAAUCUCCUAAAGAAACCAAAAUAGUCCUCACAUAAUGUGCGCAUCUUACACUUCCAAGCCGCUCGGGGUAUUUGACAUUUGCCACUUUUCCUCCAGCCUUUGUCAAAUAGCAAAAAUUUUUCAAAUAUUCAAUACGUUUUACAUAUGUAUAUAGUGUAGUACGAUAAUACAUUUAUAAAGUAA
Molecule: long non-coding RNA, 2095 nt
Organism: Zeugodacus cucurbitae (melon fly)
Lineage: Eukaryota; Metazoa; Arthropoda; Insecta; Diptera; Tephritidae
Exons: 4
Source: RefSeq, a predicted model, not a curated record